UGGGGAAUAUUGCACAAUGGGCGAAAGCCUGAUGCAGCGACGCCGCGUGCGGGAUGACGGCCUUCGGGUUGUAAACCUCUUUCAGCAGGGACGAAGCUCAAGUGACGGUACCUGCAGAAGAAGCACCGGCUAACUACGUGCCAGCAGCCGCGGUAAUACGUAGGGUGCAAGCGUUGUCCGGAAUUACUGGGCGUAAAGAGUUCGUAGGCGGUUUGUCGCGUCGUUUGUGAAGACCAGCAGCUCAACUGCUGGCUUGCAGGCGAUACGGGCAGACUGGAGUACUGGAGGGGAGACGGGAAUUCCUGGUGUAGCGGUGAAAUGCGCAGAUAUCAGGAGGAACACCGGUGGCGAAGGCGGGUCUCUGGGCAGUAACGGACGCUGAGGAACGAAAGCGUGGGUAGCGAACAGG
Molecule: ribosomal RNA, 409 nt
Filed under: Bacillota bacterium
Lineage: Bacteria; Bacillati; Bacillota
Description: Firmicutes bacterium partial 16S ribosomal RNA
Rfam family: Bacterial small subunit ribosomal RNA
Source: RNAcentral